This 2154-nucleotide long non-coding RNA is filed under the name Homo sapiens (human). RNAcentral describes it as "HSALNT0228026". The record is from RNAcentral. Lineage: Eukaryota; Metazoa; Chordata; Mammalia; Primates; Hominidae.
CGGAGGCUCCGUCCCCAGACAGCUUGAGGCCCCGCCUCCAAGGGGCUCGAGUCCUCACUGGACCAAGCGACACAGAACUGGGUGCGUCCCCAGCACAGCAGGUCCGGGACCCCUCACGCCAGCCACAUCUCGGGCCAGGCCUCGCGGAACUCUCACUGGCAAUAAAAAGCAGCCAUACGUUCUCUCCUAUGUUUGUUGGAAGCAACAAACAGCCCGGCCCAGCCAGCUUGGGCAACCAGGCCUCACUCCACAAGGCGGGGCGCAGGUCAGGGGACACUGUCGAGGAUGUUUCCAAAGCCCGGCAGGUCAGGGCCUGGCACACAGAUCCCCUUCAGGGGCCAGUCUGGUAACAUAGACAUGUGAAACGGGUGGAGUUGAAACCACAGGCGCCAAAUGGCCGCUACUGCCACAGGCAGUGACACCUGUCCAGUUUCGGGGCUUUUUAAAGCCCUCUGUGGCUGAGGCAACGCGUCAGAGAGACCCACGUGGCUGAAAGCUUGUUGGUUUCACAGAGGGCGCCUCCCACUUCAUGGCCUUUGCCCAUGCUGUCCCCUCAGCCUGUGAUGUUCUUCUUGCAAAACCAUUCUUAGUUCCUAAUCCCUGCAAAAACACUUGGCCAACAAGAUCUGGGCCGUGAGCUGCGUGUGCAGAACCCUGUCGGCCCCAUUAGCUAACUCCUUCUCUGACUUCAAGUCUCAGAGAAUUCUUCCCCAACACAGGCACCCCGCACCUCCCUUGUCACAGGGCAAUUUCACAUUUGUUUGCUUACUUGAUCAGUGUCUGUCUACCCUUGUAUUCCUUUCCCAGGGCUACAGUAACAAAUUAUCAUAAAGCUUAAAACCACAGAAUGUAUUGUCUCACAGUUGCGGGGAACAGAAGUCCAAAACCAAGGUGUUGGCAGGGUUGGCUCCUUCUGGAGGUUCCCAGGGAGAAUCAGAUCCAUGCCCAUCUCCUGGCUGAUGGUGACUCCUUGGCUGGUGGCAGCAUCACUGCAAUCUCUGCCUUUCUCAUCACACAGCACUCUCCCUGUAUGCAUCUGUGUGCCAGGGUCCCUCUUCGUAUAAGAACCCCAGUCGUGCCAUAUAGAGGGCCCAUCCUAAAACAGUAUGACUUCAUCUUAUCUUGACAACAUCUGCAAAGACUCCAUUUCCAAAUAAGGUCAUAUUUGCAGGUUCCAGGUGGAUGUGAAUUUUCAGAGGACACUGUGCAACCCAGGAGAGCCCCCAAGUGUGGGGGGUCCACUUACACUGUGCCUGGAAGGUGGGGACCCCCUUGCUGAAACCCUUCACUCACUUGCCACCAGUACCCUGGCCUGAUCUCUGCUGGGGUGAGAGGGUGACUGUGAACAAGACGGGGAGGAGAGAUGGUCCAGGAGUGCACUGGCCAGGGCGGGAGCUGGUGGUGAGGGCACAGUGGGUACUUGAUGUCUCAGUCUGUGUGGCCUCCUUUCCUCCUCUGCUUGAUGACAGGGCCCAGAGUUUUCUCUGAAGCUUUGCUCCUCCCCAACUCUUGGUUCACGGGGUUUGGGUAGAGAUGAUGCCAUUCCUAGGUCUGGAGAUGGCCGUGUGUCCCAGGCCUGGCCAAUCAAACAAUGCUUCUACCUGACACAGUGACCGGUUCAGGACUGGACAGAUGACCCAGUCAUUGCCAACGAAGUCUCGUUCUGUUGCCCAGACUGGAGUACAAUGACGUGAUCUCGUCUCACUGCAACUUCCGCCUGCCAGGUUCAAGUGAUUCUCCUGCCUCAGCCUUGCAAGUAGCUGGGAUUACAGGCACGUGCCACCACACCCAGCUAAUUUUCAUGGUUUUUUUUUUUGUUUUGUUUUGUUUUUUUUUAAGUAGAGACAGGGUUUCACUGUGUUGGCCAGGCUGGUCUCGAACUCCUGACCUCAAGUGAUCCACCCACCUCGGCCACCCAAAGUGCUGGGAUUACAGGUGUGAGCACCAAGCCCGGCCUCAACUUGGGCUUCUGAUGGAACUUAUCCUUAAGUAGCUGAGCCCGUGGCUAUAAGCCUCUUGUCCUGGGCAGCCACCUUGCCACUAUGAGGAGGGAACCAGUGCUUGAAUGAAACCCCUGCAGAGAAAACUGAAACCAACAGCCAGGAGAGGGACUCCCGAUGCCACAUGUGAGUGCCUGGAUCCAGCCAUUCCUGA